RNAcentral lists this microRNA precursor (89 nucleotides) under Dichanthelium oligosanthes. RNAcentral describes it as "MIR2275 microRNA precursor family". It matches the Rfam family "MIR2275 microRNA precursor family". Lineage: Eukaryota; Viridiplantae; Streptophyta; Magnoliopsida; Poales; Poaceae. The record is from Rfam by way of RNAcentral.
CAGUUGAAUUUGAGAAUUGGAUGGAACCAAAUCUUCUUUGCGAAAGCGAGGCAAAGACUUGGUUUCCUCCAAUAUCUCAUGUUCACCUG